CAGCAGUUGGAAGGGAUCCCAGGGACCAGCUCAGCCACUCAGGGCAGCAGCCAGGCAUCUGUGCAGAGGAAAGUCAACCGAUUUUUCUGUAAAAAUGUGAAACUAGCAGUGUAAACCAUUAUUUUGAAAUACAAAGGUAAACAGAAGAGACCAGUGAAAGCAUAUAAAGUAGCUAUCUUGUGGGAGAGGAAAGGAAGAUAUAGUGGGGACUCCGUUUUUUAUUUUGUAACGUUUGGGCUGACUUUCCAGAAUUACCCAGGAUUGACCUGUGGGAGAUGUCUAGCCAACCCCUACCUUGCAAAGCUUCACCUGGGUGAUGAUAUUGAAGGUCCAGUGCAGAUCAAUGGGGGCUCCAUAGCAAAUGAGAAACAGAGGAAGAACUAACCUUCCUACCCACCAGUGCCCACUGACACUCAACCACAGCUUUGCUCUUGUUUCUGGAGGAAGGGCCAUGGGGAUCAACUCAAGAACAUGGUAGAACAGAGAUGCAUGCUGAAUUAGUUGGUUGUAAGCACAAAAUUAUUUUGGUAGUUGUUGCAAAUUGCUUCACUUGGUUUCAGUGUAGAACUCAAUGGUAAUGCGAAUACACUUGAUCUCCAUAGGGUCGUUGUGGGGACUCAAUGAGAUAGAUUCUGUAGAGUUUUGGGCUUGAUUGGUGCAGUGUUCAAUGAGUGAGCUGGGAGAAACUCAUCUCCCCACUUCUGGUGUUUCCUUCCAGGAGAACAAAAGUCUCUCUUGGUAGCACCCCUGGCCUCUCUGUCUGCUCCCUGGUUCUGCCUUUGGAAGUGGGAGGUGAUGUGCUUGGUAGGGAAGCCUGAGGGCAGGAGCUGGGCCUGGGUAGCUCAACUGCUUCCUCUUCCAUUCUCAGGAGCCAGUUGUCUCUGGGAAGCACCCAUUCUGGUCACUCCAUAAAUGUACAGGGGCAGGCUGGAUCCUUCCAGGGAAGAGGGCUCCAGCUAGGGUGGUGGGUCAGCUCAUUCAGGAGUGUUCCUAGCUGACACGUUGGGCCAAGUGCCUGGUGAACAAGUAAUGGAAUGUGGGGAGCAAAUUAACACUCAAAAACCGAGACUUUUGAGGGGACCAGGCCAUUAGAUUGUUUUUUGUUGUGUUUUGUUUUUUAUAGGCAAGCUGCUAUUUUUAUACAGGCAUAGGCCUUAGCAAAAGUGGGCUGAGCUGGUUCCCGAGGCCUUAGGCUAAGAGCUAUUCAGCUCAACCUGGGCAAAACAGUGCCUGCCUCGGCAUGGGCCACUGGGUUCUCUGAAGAUGCCUGUAGGCCUCAGGACUCCUGUGGGUAGGCAUUGCAGACAGUAUGCUUUGAUUACAAGGAAAAGAAGGUUUACCCAUAUGUAGACUCUGUUAGCGUCUGACUGCUGCUGUCACAAAUCACCGCCGUAGUGGCCUAAGACAAGCUUCUUAUCUCGCUGUUCUGGAGGUCAGAAGUCCAAAAGCGUUUCACUGGGUCAAAAUCAAGGUUCGUAGCCAUGUUCCCUCCAGAGGCUCUAGGAGAGAAUCAAUGUCCGUGCCUUUUGCAGCUUCCAGAAGCUCUCUGUCUUCCUUUGCUGUUGAUCCUUUCCUCCUCCUUCAAAGCCAACAGUGUAGCAUCUUCUCAUCUCUCCCUGUUCUGUUGUUAUAUCAGCUUUUCUUCACUCUGAGCCUCUGGCCUCCUCUUAGAAGGACCCUGGCAAUUACAUUUAGGACCCACUGGGGUAACGUAGCAUAAUCUUUCCAUCUCUAGAUCUUUAAUUUCAUCACAUCUUCAAUAUCCCUUUACCACAGCCACAGGCUCCAGAGACUAAGCCAUAAACAUCAUUGGACAGAAACAUCAUUAUUCAGCCUAGCAUAUAGACCUUUUUUGAAUUUUUAAUUUUUAUGGGUACAUUGUAGGUAUAUAUAUUUAUGGGGUACAUAGGUACUUUAAUACAGGCAGGCAACGUAUAAUAAUUCCAUCAGGGUAAAUGGGGUAGCUAUCACCUCAAGAAUUUGUCCUUACUUUAGUGUUACAAACAAUCCAAUUAUACUCCUUUAGUUAUUUUAAAAUGUAUAAUAAAUUUUUAUUGAC
Molecule: long non-coding RNA, 2059 nt
Organism: Sapajus apella (tufted capuchin)
Lineage: Eukaryota; Metazoa; Chordata; Mammalia; Primates; Cebidae
Exons: 3
Source: RefSeq, a predicted model, not a curated record